GGGGAAUAUUGGACAAUGGUCGAAAGCCUGCUCCAGCCAUGCCGCGUGUGUGAAGAAGUUCUUCGGAUUGUAAAGCCCUUUAAGUUGGGAGGAAGGGCGGUAAGUUAAUACCUUGCUGUUUUGACUUUACGGACAGAAUCAGCACCAGCUACCUUCGUGCCAGCAGCCGCGGUAAUACGAAGGGUGCAAGCGUUAAUCGGAAUUACUGGGCGUAAAGCGCGCGUAGGUGGUUCGUUAAGUUGGAUGUGAAAGCCCCGGGCUCAACCUGGGAACUGCAUCCAAAACUGGCGAGCUAGAGUACGGUAGAGGGUGGUGGAAUUUCCUGUGUAGCGGUGAAAUGCGUAGAUAUAGGAAGGAACACCAGUGGCGAAGGCGACCACCUGGACUGAUACUGACACUGAGGUGCGAAAGCGUGGGGAGCAAACA
RNAcentral lists this ribosomal RNA (426 nucleotides) under uncultured Pseudomonadaceae bacterium. RNAcentral's name for it is "bacterial SSU rRNA". It matches the Rfam family "Bacterial small subunit ribosomal RNA", at positions 356 to 774 of the family's 1533-position model. The record is from RNAcentral. Lineage: Bacteria; Pseudomonadati; Pseudomonadota; Gammaproteobacteria; Pseudomonadales; Pseudomonadaceae.